Molecule: ribosomal RNA, 709 nt
Filed under: uncultured bacterium
Lineage: Bacteria
Description: bacterial SSU rRNA
Rfam family: Bacterial small subunit ribosomal RNA
Source: RNAcentral
AGAGUUUGAUCCUGGCUCAGAUUGAACGCUGGCGGAAUGCUUUACACAUGCAAGUCAAACGGCAGCACGGGAGCUUGCUCCUGGUGGCGAGUGGCGAACGGGUGAGUAAUGCGUCGGAACGUACCGAGUAAUGGGGGAUAACGCGGCGAAAGUCGCGCUAAUACCGCAUACGCCCUGAGGGGGAAAGCGGGGGAUCGCAAGACCUCGCGUUAUUCGAGCGGCCGACGUCUGAUUAGCUAGUUGGUGGGGUAAAGGCUCACCAAGGCGACGAUCAGUAGCGGGUCUGAGAGGAUGAUCCGCCACACUGGGACUGAGACACGGCCCAGACUCCUACGGGAGGCAGCAGUGGGGAAUUUUGGACAAUGGGGGCAACCCUGAUCCAGCCAUUCCGCGUGAGUGAAGAAGGCCUUCGGGUUGUAAAGCUCUUUCAGCUGGAGCGAAACGGUACGCUCUAACAUAGCGUGCUAAUGACGGUACCAGCAGAAGAAGCACCGGCUAACUACGUGCCAGCAGCCGCGGUAAUACGUAGGGUGCGAGCGUUAAUCGGAAUUACUGGGCGUAAAGCGUGCGCAGGCGGAUUGUUAAGCAAGACGUGAAAUCCCCGGGCUUAACCUGGGAAUGGCGUUUUGAACUGGCAGUCUAGAGUGCGUCAGAGGGGGGUGGAAUUCCACGUGUAGCAGUGAAAUGCGUAGAGAUGUGGAGGAACACC